RNAcentral lists this ribosomal RNA (251 nucleotides) under uncultured prokaryote. RNAcentral's name for it is "partial 16S rRNA". It matches the Rfam family "Bacterial small subunit ribosomal RNA", at positions 525 to 775 of the family's 1533-position model. The record is from RNAcentral.
ACGUAGGUGGCAAGCGUUGUCCGGAAUAAUUGGGCGUAAAGGGCUUGCAGACGGCAUGUUAAGCCAAAUGUGAAAUGCACGGGCUCAACCCGUAAACGGCGUUUGAAACUGGGGAACUUGAGUGCAGAAGAGGCGAGUGGAAUUCCACGUGUAGCGGUGAAAUGCGUAGAGAUGUGGAGGAACACCAGUGGCGAAGGCGACUUUCUGGUCUGUAACUGACGCUGAGGUGCGAAAGCCUGGGGAGCGAACAG